This 353-nucleotide ribosomal RNA is filed under the name Babesia ovis. Its description in RNAcentral is "SSU rRNA". It matches the Rfam family "Eukaryotic small subunit ribosomal RNA", at positions 492 to 918 of the family's 1831-position model. Lineage: Eukaryota; Apicomplexa; Aconoidasida; Piroplasmida; Babesiidae. The record is from RNAcentral.
GGGCUACUGUCUUGUAAUUGGAAUGAUGGCGACCCAAACCCUCGCCAGAGUACCAAUUGGAGGGCAAGUCUGGUGCCAGCAGCCGCGGUAAUUCCAGCUCCAAUAGCGUAUAUUAAACUUGUUGCAGUUAAAAAGCUCGUAGUUGAACUUCGGCCUUGCGCGUCCUGCGGGUCUGCGCGCGGCCUUUGCGUUACUUUGAGAAAAUUAGAGUGUUUCAAGCAGGCUUUCGCCGUGAAUACUUGAGCAUGGAAUAACUGGGCAGGACCUUGGUUCUUCUUUGUUGGUUUUGUACCUGGGUAAUGGUUAAUAGGAACGGUUGGGGGCAUUCGUAUUUAACUGUCAGAGGUGAAAUU